CUUUCGGGGCGGCUUGCCCUCCGCUACCCCCUUCCCGGGGGGGGGCUUCGGGGCGAGGUGGACCUGGGGGAGGGGCGCUUCCUCCUCCAAGGA
Molecule: transfer RNA, 93 nt
Filed under: Thermus thermophilus
Lineage: Bacteria; Thermotogati; Deinococcota; Deinococci; Thermales; Thermaceae
Description: tRNA-Gly
Source: RNAcentral